RNAcentral lists this ribosomal RNA (305 nucleotides) under uncultured bacterium. Its description in RNAcentral is "bacterial SSU rRNA". It matches the Rfam family "Bacterial small subunit ribosomal RNA", at positions 334 to 656 of the family's 1533-position model. The record is from RNAcentral.
UUGUCCUACGGGGGGCAGCAGUGGGGAAUAUUGCACAAUGGGGGAAACCCUGAUGCAGCAACGCCGCGUGAGUGAUGACGGCCUUCGGGUUGUAAAGCUCUAUCAGCAGGGAAGAAAAUGACGGUACCUGACUAAGAAGCUCCGGCUAAAUACGUGCCAGCAGCCGCGGUAAUACGUAUGGAGCAAGCGUUAUCCGGAAUUACUGGGUGUAAAGGGAGCGUAGGCGGCAAGGCAAGUCUGAUGUGAAAACCCAGGGCCCAACCCUGGGACUGCAUUGGAAACUGUAUUGCUUGAGUACCGGAGAG